This 464-nucleotide ribosomal RNA is filed under the name uncultured bacterium. RNAcentral's name for it is "partial 16S ribosomal RNA". It matches the Rfam family "Bacterial small subunit ribosomal RNA", at positions 29 to 507 of the family's 1533-position model. The record is from RNAcentral.
ACGAACGCUGGCGGCGUGCUUAACACCUGCAAGUCGAACGGAAAGGCCCCUUCGGGGGUACUCGAGUGGCGAACGGGUGAGUAACACGUGAGUAACCUGCCCUUGACUUCGGGAUAACUUCAGGAAACUGGGGCUAAUACCGGAUAGGAAUCCUUGCUGCAUGGUGGGGGUUGGAAAGCUUCGGCGGUUUUGGAUGGACUCGCGGCUUAUCAGCUUGUUGGUGGGGUAGUGGCUUACCAAGGCUUUGACGGGUAGCCGGCCUGAGAGGGCGACCGGCCACAUUGGGACUGAGAUACGGCCCAGACUCCUACGGGAGGCAGCAGUGGGGAAUAUUGCACAAUGGGCGGAAGCCUGAUGCAGCAACGCCGCGUGCGGGAUGACGGCCUUCGGGUUGUAAACCGCUUUCAGCAGGGGCGAAGCUUGUGGUGACGGUACCUGCAGAAGAAGCACCGGCUAACUACGUG